Molecule: long non-coding RNA, 4784 nt
Organism: Alligator mississippiensis (American alligator)
Lineage: Eukaryota; Metazoa; Chordata; Crocodylia; Alligatoridae
Exons: 2
Source: RefSeq, a predicted model, not a curated record
UUGAUGAGCGGACCCCACAGUAUUUCUGGGCUUCACAGGGAUCUUUGGCUUAGGUAAAAGAAGCGUUGCUGCAGAGCAAGUGGGGAAGGGAAGUAGAGAAGGAAAAAUACACCUGGUUACCUCCAGUUUGACUAUAAAAGUUAUUUAUUGUGAAGCAUAUCCAAUUUAUAAUGGUACUAGUAGUAAUAGACAUGCAAGGGAAAACAAAACAAUUACAAUAUUCCCCUGGUUUAAUUGAGUAUUUGGGGAAACUUAGCUGAAGCUUAACUAAUACAAUUUAGGUUCAGAAAGCUAUGCGUAGAGACAAAAACAAAAAGAGAGAAAGAGAGAGCGAGAGCUGGGGUGUCACUGUUCCCAGGCACUCGGGUGAUCUGAUGACAAGCAAAGUUCCCAGCACGAUCCUUGAAGGGAGAGGAUCUGUUUCUGCCAGCUUCUUGGGAACAACAGCGGGUGAUGUCAGAGAGAUUUUUCUCUCUUGAAGCACCCUGUUUGCUGCUUUACAGCUUUCUUAUCCCCUUAGUCCAGCCUCUUCAAAGCAUUCUUUUAAUUGUGUAAAUCAAGAGGGUCCCAAGCCCUAAGUGACAGGGAAAAUCCUAUUAUAUAACAGUUUCAAUUUAAAUGAAUGACCUUUCUCAGUGACCAGGGGUUAUCUGGUUUGGAACGUCUCAAGAAAUGGAUUAACCACCAGGAAAAACAUCAAGUUUUAAGGAAGAACCAGACAUGUAGGAGCCAGCUUGAAAUUAUGGGGUUUUAUUUUCUUUUUUUCCAGUCCUCUUCCUUUUACAACAAGGUGUCUAUGAAACUGCAUCUUGACAUUUUCUCUUAACUUUUUAAUCCUGAGCCAUUUUGGUUGUGGCCAGCCUCAAGGCACUCAUGCUUACAAAAUCAAAUGGAGAUGCGCAGAACUGAGACCGGUUUUCCUGUAGAUUGUCUGAAGAGGCUUCAUCUUUUGUUAAGUGCACUGACGGCGUCUGUCUUGGGGCAGUGGAUUGUUCUUGGUGCUGUGUAUUGAGCUGGUCCCUGAGGGAAUCAUGAUUAAUUGGUAACUGGUAACAGCCAGGCCUGCAGUGAUCCCAGGUCCCAUGCCUCAAAACAGCCACAGUUACACGAGCACCCAUGUCACGAGUUUUGCCUGUCAGCAGCCAGAGGUGCAGGCCCUCGAGCCCAGAAGCCCUGCGCCGAUCUCCUCGACAGCUGGCAGGCCUCGUGGCCGCAGCAGGGGCCACCAUCGCUGCAGUUUUCAGCCCGCUGCACCUUAACACACACGGUCAUCUAUGUCACGAGUUUUGCCUGUCAGCAGCUCGAGGUGCAGUUCCCCAAAACCCUGCACCAAUCGUCUUGAAGCUUGGCAGGUUUCAUGGCCUCGGCGAGGCUACCGCCCCUGCAGUUUUCACCCGGCUGUGGCGUAACACAUACGCGUGACGUGAGUUUUGCUUUCAAGAAUGUGGGGUGCAGUUCCCCCAAGCCCCUGCACCGAUCUUCUUGAAACGUGGCAGGCUUCAUGCUCUCAACAGGGGCUACCACCCCUGCAAGCUUCACCCAAAUCAGGCAAAAAAACAACAAAGCUGUCGAUAUUUCACUGAUUCCCCAUUAUACCCUAUGGCCGGGUCUCCGAGGCGGCUCCGAAGCUUCCUACUCACACAGGCCGACUCGUGACUACAAUGGACUGCAGAACCCAGAUCUCCUCUAAGCAGGAUUACCUCUAUCGUCACAUCCACAGCUGCCCCAUUCAGGCCAUGGAAAGCUGUCUGUGCACCAGGCAUGGCAGGAUCGGCGCUGGGACAGUUGGCUGUGCCGGCCUCAGAGAAUGGGAGAGCUUUGCAUCUCCCUGGGUGAUUAUAGGAUCGUAUUUCUGAAGACAGAUGUACUUUUGGGGCAUCCAGAAGCAAAGACACACAUUUUAAUGGGAUGAAAAGUGGGUCAAACCUGUUUCAAAGGGAGCAUAGAGAGAGUGUCUGAUCUUCUGGGGAAGGGAUGUUGACUGUCAGCACAAAGACUUCUUACAUGAGCUCUGUACAAUGGGAAACAGCAAUGGAGAAGAGGUGGUGGGAGGUAGCCAGCAAAAUCAGUGACAUUUAGGAGGCAGCACUGCAGUACUUGGAGGUACCAAGUAGUUAUUUCAUCUCGGUGAGCAAUUUUAAUUCAUUUUCAGCAAAAUCUUAAAAACUUGAAGACCUGGACUUCUUCAGCUGUGCCAUCACAAACCUGAAGAGUUACAGGGAAAGGAUUUUUGAGCUGCUUCAGGAGAUCACCUACCUAGAUUGAUUUGAUCAGAAAGAUAACGAGGCCCCCAACUCAGAAGAUGAAGAUGAUGAGGGUGACUUCUGUAAACAUGCAGUCAUUAGUUAUGCCAUUCAGUCAGGAUCUAAAUACAAAAUUGAGACUAAAGUGACUGUGGAAGUGCUGGAGCACAAAUCAGCUACGUGUGUCAGGUGAAGGGCAGUAUCACAUACUGCUCCUAUUGGGUAAUGCGGGGGGGGCGGGCAAUGCACUUGCAAAGAGAGUAGUCAUGGAUGCUGUGCACGGUUAAAGGAGAGCUGCGCUUUGGAAAACAUGAGUACACAUCUUUACACUGAGAUAUAACUAUAUAAAAGCAGUUAUUUUAUUGCUGGUACCAAAAGCUUUUUUUUUUCCGUACCCAUCAUCUCAUAUUCGAUGCUGUGGCACAUUCAGUUCUGUGUUUUCUCUUCCUAUAGAAAGAGGAAAAAGUGGGAUGUUACUUCUAGUCCUGUCUUUUUUUAAAGAUUUCUGGAGAAGGUUUUGUAGCGGAAUUGAGUCAGAUUUCAGAAGCUCAUUUAAGAUGAGUUUACAAACAAGCCUUUGAGGUUUAAGCAAAGCUGUAAGGAAUUAAUUUACUUGCCUUUCAGAAGGGGAUGAGGAGGAUGAAGCAGAUGAAGAUGAAGCUGGUCCACCAGGAGAGUACAAAGAAGACGAAGAUGAAGAUGAUGGAGGUUCAGAUUUGGGGAGAGUGAAGAGGAGGAAGAAGCUGGCCUUUCAUACCUGAUGACGGACAAGAUCCAGGCAGGACUUACCCUAUUCUACUAUAAGGCUCAGGAUUUUCUUGACACUGUCUAGCUAUAAAUGUGUAAUAAGUUAAACUUGUAUAAGCAGAAUCAUGUAAAUCCACUAUCAUACAUGAGCAAUAGAGUACUUUAGAGAGAGACCUUUUACGAUCAAAAAAGUGCAUUACAGUAGGGGAACCACCGCUGUUUGGUAUUCUCCGUUAUCUUGCUCAAAAUGAAAUGCUUCACGAUUCAUUACUUCACGGCCUUGUAGAAUUAGUGUCAUUCUGCACCAGAUCACCACGUCCAAUUUGGAGGAAAACAUGGCCGAAACAAAUCCACCUGCCCUAUCAGGAUGCUCACAAGUGCCUGGGGCGCUUCAGCCUUGAGAGCCAUGCCCUCACCAUGCAGAUCUGCAGGCUGUCAGGUGUGGGGCUGGGGCUUCCAGGCAGGGGGGAGAGGGUGAGUAUGGAGGAGCUAGGGCCUGAGGGUGCAGGGGGCUGAUCAGGAUGUGAGGGCUGAGGCAAAGGGGAGACAGGCUGGGAAUCCAGGAGUGAGGGCUGGCCACUGAGGAAGAAGUCAGGGAGAGGCUGGAGCUGUGGCCCUGGGAGCGCUGUGGGUUCGGCCAUGCAGGGGAGAGCUGGGGCGGGGAGCGGAGACUUGCCCUGGGUGGGAGCGCAUUGCCCUUGCCCUGGGUGGGAGCACAGGACCUUGAGCUGCUGUUAGUUGAGGGAGGUGGGUGGGAAGCUGGAUCCUGGCAUUUUGGGGAAGGAGGAGGGAUUGGACGCUCCUUUCACCCCACUUAUCUCAGGGCCCUUUUCUUUCCUACCCGGGGGGCAGACAGCCCGUGUGAUGUUUGCUGAGCUGACCUGCAGGGAGCCUGAUGGACCCAGGGGAUGGGAACGGGGCUGUGUCGGGUUCGCUGCUCUGGGAAGGAAGCGCAUUAGAGCAGAGCAGGCGUGAGGACCAGGACUUGCAGGUUGUGCCCUGCUCUGGCUCUUCGAAAGGAGUGCUGUCCAGCAUGCCAUAGUGAGGGGCAUGGUUUGGGGGGACUCCUGCGUCCUGUUUCUAGCUGAGGGAAGGAGGGAAGGGGUGGGAGGAAGGCUCUGUGGCUCAGGACUCCUGGCUUCUUUUGGGGAUGUCUCUUCCCCAGAAUGAACCCACAAAUCAUCUGUGCAUUGAGUCAAUCGAUCCCUUGGGUGAUGCUGUCAGCACGUACAUGGAGCGGUGAUCAACGUGAGCCAUGAUGCACGACUGAUCCCGCAGACCAGCUGCCAGCUCUGGGUGGUGGAGGAGCAGUCCAUCAGCCACAUCAACGGCGACUUCGACUGCAAGCGGGAGGUGCUGGAGGCCUCGGGCCAGGUCAGCAUUAACUGGCCCCGGGAGUGACCUUGCUGUGGGGAGGCUCCUCGAGGACCUGCCCAUCCCCUCUCAGAGACCUGCCUCCACAGCUUCACGUGCACCCACACCCAGAGGACUCUGUAGAGGGGGCAGGGCCGCAGGCAUGGUUGUGGUUGAACUUUGAAGAUGUGUUUUGGGGGCCUAAUGCAAGACAUGUUAUAUUUUUAGAGCUGUUCUUCUACACCUGCUGCUUUCCCAGGAGAGAGAGACUUAAUUUAUAUGAAUGGUAGGGAGGGGGUUGUACUGGAACGGUCUGUUUUAGGCAGGAGUGAGGGCUGUCCUUGUCCCAUUGCUGGGUUCCCUGCCCCCAGUCUGGAGAAUGACUUGAGCCUUGUUUUGCUUCCACCCAAGAAGAUUAUAUUAAAAUAUAAUAAAGGAAAA